This 253-nucleotide ribosomal RNA is filed under the name uncultured bacterium. RNAcentral describes it as "partial 16S ribosomal RNA". It matches the Rfam family "Bacterial small subunit ribosomal RNA", at positions 524 to 776 of the family's 1533-position model. The record is from RNAcentral.
UACGUAGGAGGCAAGCGUUGUCCGGAAUUACUGGGUGUAAAGCGCGUGUAGGCGGCAGGCUAAGUCUGUGGUGAAAUCCUUCAGCUCAACUGGAGAAGUGCCGCUGAUACUGACAGUCUCGAGGGAGGUAGGGGUCGAUGGAACUAAUGGUGGAGCGGUGAAAUGCGUAGAUAUCAUUAGGAACGCCGGUGGCGAAAGCGAUCGACUGGACCUCUUCUGACGCUGAGGCGCGAAAGCUAGGGGAGCAAACGGG